UACGGAGGGUGCAAGCGUUAUCCGGAUUCACUGGGUUUAAAGGGUGCGUAGGUGGGUUGGUAAGUCAGUGGUGAAAUCUCUGGGCUUAACCCGGAAAUUGCCAUUGAUACUAUAUAUCUUGAAUGUUGUGGAGGUAAGCGGAAUAUGUCAUGUAGCGGUGAAAUGCUUAGAUAUGACAUAGAACACCUAUUGCGAAGGCAGCUUACUACGCAGAUAUUGACGCUCAUGCACGAAAGCUUGGGGAUCAAACAGG
This 253-nucleotide ribosomal RNA is filed under the name uncultured bacterium. RNAcentral describes it as "partial 16S ribosomal RNA". It matches the Rfam family "Bacterial small subunit ribosomal RNA", at positions 524 to 776 of the family's 1533-position model. The record is from RNAcentral.